RNAcentral lists this ribosomal RNA (433 nucleotides) under uncultured bacterium. RNAcentral's name for it is "partial 16S ribosomal RNA". It matches the Rfam family "Bacterial small subunit ribosomal RNA", at positions 29 to 507 of the family's 1533-position model. The record is from RNAcentral.
AACGAACGCUGGCGGCAUGCCUAACACAUGCAAGUCGAACGAGACCUUCGGGUCUAGUGGCGCACGGGUGCGUAACGCGUGGGAACCUGCCCUUAGGUUCGGAAUAACUCCCCGAAAGGGGUGCUAAAACCGGAUAAUGUCCUCGGACCAAAGAUUUAUCGCCUUUGGAUGGGCCCGCGUGGGAUUAGCUAGUUGGUAGGGUAAAAGCCUACCAAGGCGACGAUCCAUAGCUGGUUUGAGAGGAUGAUCAGCCACACUGGGACUGAGACACGGCCCAGACUCCUACGGGAGGCAGCAGUGGGGAAUAUUGGACAAUGGGGGAAGGCCUGAUGCAGCAAUGCCGCGUGAGUGAUGAAGGCCUUAGGGUUGUAAAGCUCUUUUACCCGGGAUGAUAAUGACAGUACCGGGAGAAUAAGCUCCGGCUAACUCCGUG